GGUGAAAUGGGGCAGGCGGUGAAACUGCCAGUGUACAUCUGAGGGGACUGAUGCCAACCGCAGCUGAGAGGCAGUGUGAGCACCGAGCAUGCUGGGGGGCAGCCUGGGUGUGAGGACCCCAAAUGUCCCCGCACAGAAUCUGGCCAGGAGCAUGGUAAGAGAGAAAAUUCUGGCACUAUAUGAUGUUUUCCGCUGCAAGUGGAUUGUACUGUUGAUCACAGGAUUUGCUGCCCUAGCCGUGGGAGGAUUAUGUAUCCCCAUCACAUUGAUGUGUGGUUUGCUUUUGGUCAAUGACAGGUGAGUAGGAAUGAAAAGUGUUUCUGGUGACCACAAGUGAUGUGUGUUACUUCU
RNAcentral lists this long non-coding RNA (351 nucleotides) under Chinchilla lanigera (long-tailed chinchilla). RNAcentral's name for it is "lncRNA (ENSCLAG00000025666.1)". The record is from RNAcentral. Lineage: Eukaryota; Metazoa; Chordata; Mammalia; Rodentia; Chinchillidae.